CAGUAGCCGCGGUAAUACGAAGGGGGCUAGCGUUGUUCGGAAUUACUGGGCGUAAAGCGCACGUAGGCGGACAUUUAAGUCAGGGGUGAAAUCCCGGGGCUCAACCCCGGAACUGCCUUUGAUACUGGGUAUCUUGAGUAUGGAAGAGGUUAGUGGAAUUGCGAGUGUAGAGGUGAAAUUCGUAGAUAUUCGCAGGAACACCAGUGGCGAAGGCGGCUAACUGGUCCAUAACUGACGCUGAGGUGCGAAAGCGUGGGGAGCAAACAGGAUUAGAUACCCGCGUAGUCCCUGUCUCUUAUAC
This 301-nucleotide ribosomal RNA is filed under the name uncultured bacterium. RNAcentral describes it as "partial 16S ribosomal RNA". It matches the Rfam family "Bacterial small subunit ribosomal RNA", at positions 509 to 807 of the family's 1533-position model. The record is from RNAcentral.